Molecule: ribosomal RNA, 274 nt
Filed under: uncultured bacterium
Lineage: Bacteria
Description: partial 16S ribosomal RNA
Rfam family: Bacterial small subunit ribosomal RNA
Source: RNAcentral
AUACGGAGGGUGCAAGCGUUAUUCGGAAUCACUGGGCGUAAAGGACGCGUAGGCGGGUUGGCAAGUCAGAUGUGAAAUCCUACAGCUUAACUGUAGAACUGCAUUUGAAACUGCUAACCUAGAGUAUGGGAGGGGGAGAUGGAAUUAGUGGUGUAGGGGUAAAAUCCGUAGAUAUCACUAGGAAUACCGAAAGCGAAGGCGAUCUCCUGGAACAUAACUGACGCUAAGGCGUGAAAGCGCGGGGAGCAAACAGGAUUAGAAACCCCAGUAGUCC